UUGAAAUUUAUAUAAUAUAUAUAUAUAUUCAUUGUAAAUGAAUAAUUUUAAUUUAAAUUAAAAUUUCAAU
Molecule: transfer RNA, 70 nt
Filed under: Ampulex compressa
Lineage: Eukaryota; Metazoa; Arthropoda; Insecta; Hymenoptera; Ampulicidae
Description: tRNA-Tyr
Source: RNAcentral